CAGCCGCCGCGGUAAUACCGGCGGCCCGAGUGGCGGUCACUAUUAUUGGGCUUAAAGCGUCCGUAGCCGGGUUGGGAAGUCCUCCGGGAAAUCUGGCCGCUUAACGGUCAGAAUGCCGGAGGAUACUCCCAGCCUAGGGAGCGGGGGAGGCCGAGGGGAUUCCCGGAGUAGGGGUGAAAUCCUAUAAUCCCGGGAGGACCACCUGGGGCGAAGGCGCUCGGCUGGAACGCGUCCGACGGUGAGGGACGAAGGCCAGGGGAGCAAACCGGAUUAGAUACCCGGGUAGUCCUGGCUGUAAACGAUGCGGACUUUGUGUCGGACAAGCUAUGAGCUUGUCCGGUGCCGGAGGGAAACCGUUAAGUCCGCCGCCUGGGGAGUACGGCCGCAAGGCUGAAACUUAAAGGAAUUGGCGGG
Molecule: ribosomal RNA, 414 nt
Filed under: uncultured microorganism
Description: bacterial SSU rRNA
Rfam family: Archaeal small subunit ribosomal RNA
Source: RNAcentral